Molecule: ribosomal RNA, 135 nt
Filed under: uncultured eukaryote
Lineage: Eukaryota
Description: partial 18S ribosomal RNA
Rfam family: Eukaryotic small subunit ribosomal RNA
Source: RNAcentral
UGGUGGAGUGAUUUGUCUGGUUAAUUCCGUUAACGAACGAGACCUCAACCUGCUAACUAGUUCUCUCUUGUUUAAAGGGAGAUACUUCUUAGAGGGACUAUGGGUGCAAACUCAUGGAAGUUUGAGGCAAUAACA